GCUCCAGUGGCCUAGUGGUUAGAGCGUUCGCCUCGGAUGUGGGAGGUCGCGGAUUCGUAACUCUGGCCGAGCC
Potamilus streckersoni is the source of this 73-nucleotide non-coding RNA. The record is from the annotation of a GenBank genome assembly. Lineage: Eukaryota; Metazoa; Mollusca; Bivalvia; Unionida; Unionidae.